GAGGGCGAGGACGCGGAGGUCGGCGAGGGGGGAGGCGGUGGAGGGGUGCGCCCGCUCUGGUACGAGCUCACUCGUGUGUGAUCCCGGGCGCCGCAGGGGCAGCGACAAGUCCGUGAAGGACAAGUGCAAGAUCGUCAACCGAGAUGACCUGAUCUGGUCCAUGGGCACGCUCGCCUUCGAGGACUACGUCGAGCCCCUCAAGCUGCACCUCAAGCUCUAUCGGGAGGAUGAUCUGAGUCACUCAGAAGAAGUGGAGAGUAGAAGGAGGGCACAAGAAGCUUUGUUUCUCAUUGAUGUUAUGUGUGAUAACUUAAAACUUGUGCUUCUCAUCCAAUAUUUGUAGAACUA
Molecule: non-coding RNA, 348 nt
Organism: Triticum urartu
Lineage: Eukaryota; Viridiplantae; Streptophyta; Magnoliopsida; Poales; Poaceae
Source: RefSeq, a predicted model, not a curated record